AUAACGCUGGCGGCGUGCCUAACACAUGCAAGUCGAACGAAGCUCCCAGAAUUGAGUUUUCGGACAAGAGGACGGGAUGACUUAGUGGCGGACGGGUGAGUAAUGCGUGAGCAACCUGCCUUUCAGAGGGGGACAACAGUUGGAAACGACUGCUAAUACCGCAUAAUGUAUAUUGAUGGCAUCAUCGAUAUACCAAAGAUUUUAUCGCUGAAAGAUGGGCUCACGUCUGAUUAGCUAGUUGGUGAGGUAACGGCUCACCAAGGCUGCGAUCAGUAGCCGGACUGAGAGGUCGAACGGCCACAUUGGGACUGAGAUACGGCCCAGACUCCUACGGGAGGCAGCAGUGGGGAAUAUUGGGCAAUGGGCGCAAGCCUGACCCAGCAACGCCGCGUGAAGGAAGAAGGCUUUCGGGUUGUAAACUUCUUUUGGCAGGGACGAAAAAAAUGACGGUACCUGCAGAAUAAGCUCCGGCUAACUACGUG
RNAcentral lists this ribosomal RNA (482 nucleotides) under uncultured bacterium. RNAcentral's name for it is "bacterial SSU rRNA". It matches the Rfam family "Bacterial small subunit ribosomal RNA", at positions 32 to 507 of the family's 1533-position model. The record is from RNAcentral.